RNAcentral lists this ribosomal RNA (490 nucleotides) under uncultured bacterium. RNAcentral describes it as "partial 16S ribosomal RNA". It matches the Rfam family "Bacterial small subunit ribosomal RNA", at positions 28 to 507 of the family's 1533-position model. The record is from RNAcentral.
GAUGAACGCUAGCUACAGGCUUAACACAUGCAAGUCGCGGGGCAGCAUGGGGGUUGCUUGCAAUCCCCGAUGGCGACCGGCGCACGGGUGAGUAACGCGUAUCCAACCUGCCCUUCACCACGGGAUAACCCGGCGAAAGUCGGACUAAUACCGUAUGUUGUCCAUUGACGGCCUCCGAUUUUGACGAAAGGUUUGGCGGUGAAGGAUGGGGAUGCGUCCGAUUAGCUGGACGGCGGGGUGACGGCCCACCGUGGCGACGAUCGGUAGGGGUUCUGAGAGGAAGGUCCCCCACACUGGAACUGAGACACGGUCCAGACGCCUACGGGAGGCAGCAGUGAGGAAUAUUGGUCAAUGGGCGUAAGCCUGAACCAGCCAAGUAGCGUGCAGGAUGACGGCCCUAUGGGUUGUAAACUGCUUUUAUGCGGGGAUAAAGUGGCCCACGUGUGGGUUUUUGCAGGUACCGCAUGAAUAAGGACCGGCUAAUUCCGUG